RNA transcript from Zea mays, 158 nucleotides. It is a transcript of the gene named 60S ribosomal protein L34 pseudogene, with no coding region annotated. The record is from RefSeq and is marked validated. NCBI's taxonomy places the organism in Eukaryota, Viridiplantae, Streptophyta, Magnoliopsida, Poales, Poaceae. The transcript is spliced from 2 exons.
UGGCUCACCUACCGGAAGCGGCACAGCUACGCCACCAAAUCGAACCAGACCCGCGUCGUCAAGACACCUGUUGAUUAGGUGGGAAACUUGUGUUCCAGUACACCAAGAAGCGCGCGAGCGGACCGAAGUGCCCAGUCACCGGGAAGAAGAUCCAAGGA